Molecule: ribosomal RNA, 515 nt
Filed under: uncultured bacterium
Lineage: Bacteria
Description: partial 16S ribosomal RNA
Rfam family: Bacterial small subunit ribosomal RNA
Source: RNAcentral
GAUGAACGCUGGCGGCGUGCCUAAUACAUGCAAGUCGAGCGAAUGGAUUAAGAGCUUGCUCUUAUGAAGUUAGCGGCGGACGGGUGAGUAACACGUGGGUAACCUGCCCAUAAGACUGGGAUAACUCCGGGAAACCGGGGCUAAUACCGGAUAAUAUUUUGAACUGCAUGGUUCAAAAUUGAAAGGCGGCUUCGGCUGUCACUUAUGGAUGGACCCGCGUCGCAUUAGCUAGUUGGUGAGGUAACGGCUCACCAAGGCAACGAUGCGUAGCCGGCCUGGGAGGGGGAUCGGGCACACUGGGACUGAGACACGGCCCAGACUCCUACGGGAGGCAGCAGUAGGGAAUCUUCCGCAAUGGACGAAAGUCUGACGGAGCAACGCCGCGUGAGUGAUGAAGGCUUUCGGGUCGUAAAACUCUGUUGUUAGGGAAGAACAAGUGCUAGUUGAAUAAGCUGGCACCUUGACGGUACCUAACCAGAAAGCCACGGCUAACUACGUGCCAGCCACCGCCGCGG